ACGAGUUUGAUCCUGGCUCAGGAUGAACGUUAGCGGGAGGCUUAAUACAUGCAAGUCGAGCGGUAAGUUUUUAUAGCAAUAUGAAGACCUAGAGCGGCGCACGGGUGAGUAACGCGUACACGACCUGGCCUAAACUGGGGGAUAGCCUUGGGAAACUGAGAGUAAUCCCGCAUGUGAUUAUGUUACUGAUGGUGAUAUAAUUAAAACUCCGGUGGUUAAAGAUGGGCAUGCGGCUGAUUAGCUAGUUGGUGAGGUAAUGGCUCACCAAGGCUACGAUCAGUAGGGGGUCUGAGAGGAUCGUCCCCCCACACUGGUACUGAGACACGGACCAGACUCCUACGGGAGGCAGCAGUAGGGAAUAUUGGGCAAUGGACGAAAGUCUGACCCAGCCAUGCCGCGUGCAGGAUGACUGCCCUAUGGGUUGUAAACUGCUUUUAUACGGGAAGAAACCCCUGAACGUGUUCGGGGCUGACGGUACUGUAUGAAUAAGGAUCGGCUAACUUCGUG
This 507-nucleotide ribosomal RNA is filed under the name uncultured bacterium. Its description in RNAcentral is "bacterial SSU rRNA". It matches the Rfam family "Bacterial small subunit ribosomal RNA", at positions 1 to 507 of the family's 1533-position model. The record is from RNAcentral.